UACCCGCAGCACAAGUGGUGGUCAUUAUUAUUGGGCCUAAAGCGUCCGUAGCUGGCCUGUUAGAUACCUGGGUAAAUCGAUGCGCUCAACGUAUCGAACUCCGGGUAGACCGGCAGGCUUGGGACCGGGAGAGAUGUGAGCUACUCGAGGGGUAGGGGUAAAAUCCUGUAAUCCUUCGGGGAGGACCAGUGGCGAAGGCGUCACAUUAGAACGGCUCCGACAGUGAGGGACGAAGCCCUGGGGCGCAAACCGG
RNAcentral lists this ribosomal RNA (253 nucleotides) under uncultured bacterium. Its description in RNAcentral is "partial 16S ribosomal RNA". It matches the Rfam family "Archaeal small subunit ribosomal RNA", at positions 474 to 727 of the family's 1478-position model. The record is from RNAcentral.